This 378-nucleotide unclassified non-coding RNA is filed under the name uncultured Chlamydiales bacterium. RNAcentral's name for it is "contains 16S-23S intergenic spacer region". Lineage: Bacteria; Pseudomonadati; Chlamydiota; Chlamydiia; Chlamydiales. The record is from RNAcentral.
UCCUGGUUAACCCAGGCAGUCUCGUUAGAGUUCCCGCCAUUACGCGCUGGCAACUAACAAUAAGGGUUGCGCUCGUUGCUGGACUUAACCAAACACCUCACGGCACGAGCUGACGACAGCCAUGCAGCACCUAUAUAGAGGCCCUUUCGGGCUGCAAUGUCUCCACUACAUCCCUCUACAUUUCGAGCCCAGGUAAGGUUCUUCGCGUUGCAUCGAAUUAAACCACAUGCUCCACUGCUUGUGCGGGCCCCCGUCAAUUCUUUUGAGUUUCACCCUUGCGAGCGUACUCCUCAGGCGGCAUACUUAAUGCGUUAGCUCCGGUACAGAAAGGGUUGAGCCUCCCUACACCUAGUAUGCAUCGUUUAAGGCUAGGACUAC